AAAGUUGAAAAUUGUCAAAUUGAAACUCAGAAAUUUACUUUUUUGUAGAAAAUUUCUGAGAUUAAUCUCAAAACUUGUGGAUUUUUUGGUGAACUCCUUGUUUUUGUUUGUUUUUAUCUAAAAAACAUGCAAGAAACUCAUCGUUGCAUAACUUGAGAAGCAGCUGUGUUAAUCGCUAACGGGACCAUCGUAACGUUACGAUCUUAAUGAAAAACAAUCACGUCAGCAGAAAAUCGUAAUUGAGCAUCACGGCCUGCUCCGUGACGUUAGCCUGAGCGGCUAACUGCUAGCUGCUUGGCUACAAUCUUCUACACAAUGUCAAUAUGUUAGCUAAUAUGCUAAUGUUUCCUUUGCUAGCAUAAGUUAAUCAGCUCUGAGUUGCACCAACGUUAGCUGGUGUUGCUGCUUUCAGCAGGUUGGAAACAGGAAGUAGUUCCUCAGAGCAGGAAGUUAUUUCAUAAGUUCUUCAUACUGUGAAUCUCUCCUCUGGAAUCCAGCAGCUUUUUGGAUAGCUAGCAAAGCUAAUGUUAGCUAAUGUGCUAACACUAGCGUUGCUAAUAAGGUUCAGCUGAACACAACAAUCCCAGCUAACUUAUUAUCCCAGUUUUGUGAUGAUAAUUACUGUUUGUUUCUUUCUCUGUGGAAAAAUUCCUGAAUAUUUGGUUUAUUUUCUGCUCCGACUCACUAACAUCCCAGAUUUCGCUCAAAUCAAACAUAUUUUCUCAUUACGAUGUUCUGUGUAAAAACUGAACAAACUGCCCUCCUUCACUUUGAGCCUGCAGGGUUUCUGUCUCAGGGGAAACUGACCUUUGCUCUGUAAAUACUCGCAGCAUCCAGUUGGACCGUUUGUGUACAUAGAGCGAGCGACGACCAAACUCAUGUACGACUCAGAGGGGGAGAGACCGGAUUACAGAGGCAACGUUUCGCCGUUUCCUGUGAAGUGAGGCAGACUGUAAAAGCAUCGAGGUUCAUUUCCCUGACUGGUCUUUGCAGUGCAGCUCUCAGCUGCUGCAGUGUGUGUUCAAACCUGCAGCGAAAAGAGCCGCUGUGCACCAACGCUCUGCAGGAGGUCCACUGGAAACCAGCCGCUGUGCACCAGCGCUCUGCAGGAGGUCCACUGGAAACCAGCCGCUGUGCACCAGCAGGAGGUCCACUGGAAACCAGCCGCUUCGUAUCGGGCCUCACCGGGUUCCUCUCGUUCUGCUCAUCUUACAGCUGAAUGUCACUUUUGGUUUUUUCUCACAGGUUUUGGAAGUUAAAUCACAUUUAAAAAUAUACAGUAGCUUAAAAACAAAGUAUCGUAAUUAUUAGUUUAAUGACUAAAUCUGAACUUUUCUCUAAUAAAACUAGCAGCUCUGACUUUAUCCUUUCUAAGUGUCACAUAAAUAAACUGUUGGCUCUAAAUC
Molecule: non-coding RNA, 1406 nt
Organism: Poecilia reticulata (guppy)
Lineage: Eukaryota; Metazoa; Chordata; Actinopteri; Cyprinodontiformes; Poeciliidae
Source: RefSeq, a predicted model, not a curated record